UCUCAGAGAUGGGGUCCAAGGCUCCCCUGCUGUGGAUGCUGCUGCUGUUGGUUCCAGGCUCCACCGGGGACAUAGUGCUGACUCAGACUGCAGCCUCCUUGACUGUGUGUCCAGGACAAAGGGCCACCAUCUCCUGCAAGGCCAGCCAGAGUGUUAGUGCAUAUGGUAUUGGUAUUAUGCAGUGGUAUCGACAGAAAGCAGGGCAGCCUCCCAAACUUCUGAUCUAUGCAGCAUCCAGUCGAGCCUCUGGGGUACCAGAGCGUUUCAGUGGCCGUGGGUCUGAGACAGACUUCACCCUCACCAUUCACCCUGUGGAGGCCCUGGAUGCUGCACACUAUUUCUGUGAGCAGGGAAAAGAUCUUCCUCUCACAAUGCAGAAAACCUGCUGUGCUGCUUCCCAGACAAGCAACACAUGGGUGCGGCUGGACCACCUGAAGCAGCAGGUUUUUGCACCACUGCAGGAGGAGCACACAUAG
Non-coding RNA from Fukomys damarensis (Damara mole-rat), 476 nucleotides. The record is from the annotation of a RefSeq genome assembly. NCBI's taxonomy places the organism in Eukaryota, Metazoa, Chordata, Mammalia, Rodentia, Bathyergidae.